This 468-nucleotide ribosomal RNA is filed under the name uncultured bacterium. Its description in RNAcentral is "partial 16S ribosomal RNA". It matches the Rfam family "Bacterial small subunit ribosomal RNA", at positions 28 to 507 of the family's 1533-position model. The record is from RNAcentral.
GACGAACGCUGGCGGCGUGCUUAACACAUGCAAGUCGAACGGAAAGGCCCUGCUUUUGUUGGGUGCUCGAGUGGCGCACGGGUGAGUAACACGUGAGUAACCUUCCCUGUACUUUGGGAUAACUUCAGGAAACUGGGGCUAAUACCGGAUAGGAGCUCCUGCUGCAUGGUGGGGGUUGGAAAGUUUCGGCGGUUGGGGAUGGACUCGCGGCUUAUCAGCUUGUUGGUGGGGUAGUGGCUUACCAAGGCUUUGACGGGUAGCCGGCCUGGGAGGGUGACCGGCCACAUUGGGACUGAGAUACGGACCAGACUCCUACGGGAGGCAGCAGUGGGGAAUAUUGCACAAUGGGCGGAAGCCUGAUGCAGCAACGCCGCGUGCGGGAUGACGGCCUUCGGGUUGUAAACCGCUUUCGCCUGUGACGAAGCGUGAGUGACGGUAAUGGGUAAAGAAGCACCGGCUAACUACGUG